Pelobates cultripes (western spadefoot toad) is the source of this 246-nucleotide non-coding RNA. NCBI's taxonomy places the organism in Eukaryota, Metazoa, Chordata, Amphibia, Anura, Pelobatidae. The record is from the annotation of a GenBank genome assembly.
AGUGAGUUUGUAUGUGUGUUUGUCAGUGAGAGUGUAUGUGUGUUUGUCAGUGAGUGGGUAUAUGUGUUUGUCAGUGAGAGUGUAUAUGUGUUUGUCAGUUAGUGUGUAUGUGUGUUUGUCAGUGAAAGUGUAUAUGUGUUUGUCAGUGAGUUUGUAUUUGUGUCUGUCAAAAAGUGUAUGUGUGUUUGUCAGUGAGAGUGUAUAUGUGUCUGUCAGUGAGUUUGUGUGUGUGUCUGUCAAAGAGUG